RNAcentral lists this ribosomal RNA (306 nucleotides) under Triticum aestivum (bread wheat). RNAcentral describes it as "partial small subunit ribosomal RNA". Lineage: Eukaryota; Viridiplantae; Streptophyta; Magnoliopsida; Poales; Poaceae. The record is from RNAcentral.
AUGAAUAUGGGACCUUUUGUGAUCAUUUAUAACCCAAACAUUGCCAGCUUAGGUCUGCAUCAUGUAACAAAUUGUAGCAAAUUAGCCAAGCCAAAACUGCUCUCAAACCAGAUGUUGCACACUGAAGUUAGCUUAUCCUGCUAUUUAAUAUUGAGUGCCAAUGCUCAAAAAAUAAGCCAAAUAAACAAUUUAUUACAUGCAGCAUUAAUCAAUCAAGUUCCUGUUCUGCCAUAUUUUGUUGAAGUAUUGUUGCUUUUCUGCUUUCACCAGAAUCCACCACAUGAGCAUUCUCCAUCUUUGAAAUGA